This 428-nucleotide ribosomal RNA is filed under the name uncultured bacterium. RNAcentral describes it as "partial 16S ribosomal RNA". It matches the Rfam family "Bacterial small subunit ribosomal RNA", at positions 354 to 796 of the family's 1533-position model. The record is from RNAcentral.
GUAGGGAAUAUUGCGCAAUGGGGGAAACCCUGACGCAGCGACGCCGCGUGAGUGAUGAAGGCCUUCGGGUCGUAAAGCUCUGUUGCAGGGGAAUAAAAAAAUGAAGGUACCCUGUGAGGAAGGAUCGGCUAACUUCGUGCCAGCAGCCGCGGUAAGACGAGGGAUCCUAGCGUUGCUCGGAAUCAUUGGGCGUAAAGAGGGCGUAGGUGGCUUGGUAAGUCAGGUGUGAAAGCCCAGGGCUCAACCCUGGAAGUGCAUUUGAUACUGCUGAGCUUGAGUGUCGGAGAGGUUACCGGAAUACCUGGUGUAGUGGUGAAAUAUGUAGAUAUCAGGUGGAACACCGGAGGCGAAGGCGGGUAACUGGACGAACACUGACACUGAGGCCCGAAAGCGUGGGGAUCAAACAGGAUUAGAAACCCCGGUAGUCC